Molecule: ribosomal RNA, 497 nt
Filed under: uncultured bacterium
Lineage: Bacteria
Description: partial 16S ribosomal RNA
Rfam family: Bacterial small subunit ribosomal RNA
Source: RNAcentral
GAUGAACGCUGGCGGCGUGCCUAAUACAUGCAAGUCGAGCGGACAGACCAGGAUUUUGCUCCUCUGACGUGAGCGGCGGAGGGGAGAGUAACACGAGUAUAACCUACCUAUCAGACUGGGAUAAUUACGAGAAACCGGCGCUAAUACCGUAGAAGAUAUUGCUCCGCAUGGGUCGAUAGUGAAAUACGGCUUUUCGGUCUCGUAUAGAGGUAUCCGGGCCGCAUUAGCUAGUUGGGAAGGUAAAGGCUUAUCAAGGCAACGAUGCGUAGCCGAACUGAGAGGGUGAUCGGCCACACUGGAACUGAGACACGGUCCAGACGCCUACGGGAGGCAGCAGUAGGGAAUCUGAGGCAAUGGGCGAAAGCUUGACGCAGCAACGCCGCGUGUGUGAUGAAGGUCUUCGGAUCGUAAAGCUCUGUUAUUGGGGAAGAACAAAUGUGGACGUAAAUGUGGAGGUAUUGACGGUACCUAAUCAAAAAGCACCGGCUAACUACGUG